Molecule: long non-coding RNA, 10432 nt
Organism: Columba livia (rock pigeon)
Lineage: Eukaryota; Metazoa; Chordata; Aves; Columbiformes; Columbidae
Exons: 2
Source: RefSeq, a predicted model, not a curated record
UUUACUGAGCUGACAGCUCUCCAAGGGUGCCUGGGCAGUGGUGAUGUCAGGGCGCUCUGUUUCCCUCACCACAUUGUCGGAGUUUCCCUGCCUGUCACUGUGGGCCCGAUUCUUUAAUUCCAUAAUCUAACUGAAAUGACACAAAUCUGGGCUCGCUUUUGGUAAAUCGGUUGCAAAGCUGAGUUUUGAUAGCAAAAAAAUUAAAUCUAGACAAGAUAACCUGCAGAACUCCACUUUUGUAGGAAGGCUGCACAUCCACAGCUGUCCUUGCAGUUAAGGGGAGGUGAAACUAAUUAAAAUUGCUUGGGGUUAUUGCCAGCAAAAUUACACAGAAACACUGUAUUCAUUAUUUAGUAAGCUUUGUAGUCUAAACUUUACCACAUAACCUCACCAUUAUAAAUCGUAGUACAUUCAAAGAGUCGCUAAAAGGGCUUGGGUUUUGCCAUAUGCUCGUUUCCCAUUCGUUUAUUUCUUGACUCAUGAAACUAUUUUUGUUUCACACUCCUAAAUUAAAAAUGAAUUGGCCCAAGGAUGUCAAUUGGAAGUUAAUGAUUAAAAAAAAACAACAACAACAGAGUAAGGCAAAUGUAUAAAGGCAGGACAAUGAAAGCUAUUGACAAAUUUAGCUCUUAAUCUUGGCAUGCUGUGUAGUAGCAAUACAGGAAAUCGUAACUACUUGCUGGCAUCGUUCACCCCACAUUUCUGCUUUACCAAAAUAGCAACAAUUUAUAAAAAAUGUAUGAGCCCAGAGCGUCCUGUCAAAAAUUCCUUAUAUGAUAAAUCAAAAUAAUAUCUAUGUAAUAUUUCUUAUCAGCUCAUGAAUAUGGGUUGUAUUAACUCUGUGUAUAGAACUUCAAUGCUCCAAAUUUGACAGCAGGGAGGUUUAAUUCUGCAGUAUAAAAUCAAUGUGCUUGUGCGUAUGCAACUUGUCAAUAUGUCCAGACAACAGUUUCUGACGUAAAGUUUUGACUGGAAAAUGUGUGGAAACUUAUUCUAUAUUUCCUUAUAAUUUUCUGGAAGAAUAACUGAUAUUCUAAAACUACUUUUAAUGCAUGCAUCCAUGCAUAUGUUUUCCCCUCUUUCCAGACUCUGUUUUGUUUUGCAGUAAACCCUCACCCUGCUUUACGGUUUUCCAUCUGGGAAACCAUAUGAAAUAACUGUGGUUCAAUAUUGAAUCGUCUUCUUUUUCUGCAAGCAACAUUUUCUGCCCAGUGACUGGUUUGACCAGGAUAACAACUGGGGGAGGAGGGGUAAACAAGUGGUGGAAAACUCACUGUUACCUUAUUUUCUUGUAGUUUUGGGUUUGGUUUAGUUUUGUUGGUUUUGAGAUGUUACUCAGGUUGAUCUAAAAACUGAGUGUAAAAAUGUUUUCUCCCAAGGAGAAAGAAGGGGGAAAGAAUUCUUAUUCUUCAUGUAUUCCCCAGUUAUAUGUUUUUUUCCCUUUGGUUUCUGGAUACUUGCCUGCGUUUAAAGUGUUGAUUAAAAAAUGACCAUAACAAGGCAACAGUCUGCUCUCCCUUACAGACAAAAUGAACUUGUUUCACUAGAGUAAACCUAAGAUGAAUUUACAGUGGCAUAAAUACUAGAAAUAAUGGUGAGUGCUCAGGCAGAAGCAGGAAAGUACUUCUCAUUGUUGUCAGCCUUUUUUAUGAUGAUUUCAGGGAGCAUUGGAUCAUUCCGUUUAUGUACCUCUGAGGAUAUAGACUUGUUUGUACAGAAAAUACCUUGCAUCUCACAUGAGCUGGUGAAGUCCUUACUCUCUCACUCUCUGGUGCUAAUGCUGAAGGAUGAGAGAAGAGCAGCAGACACAUGUUAUUUUUUCAGGUGAUUGAACAACUUGAGAUGAAAGACAUUUCACUUUUUGUUGGUGUUGUUAUUGUUGCAUUAGACUUCAUGACGUUUUUGUGGUUUAUUGCACUCACCUUUCUGGUGCCCUUCUGGGCCCUAAAGUCACCAGUGCCAGAUUUCCUUUAGCAGAAAGGGUUCGUGGUGAGCUACCCAAAUUCUUCACCAGGAGGAGUUCAGUCAUGGGGGUGGGCUCCCUUCCUCCAGUGCUGGGUUGACUUAGGGGGAUUAUCUUUGUAUCUCUCUAAACAGUCUGUUUGGCCACUCUUUCUUGUUGGUGAGCUAGUGAGUUACACAAUAGUCACUUUUAGGUUUUCUUAGACCUUUACCAUGUAUAAUUAAACCAUACCAUUGCAGAGUCAGCUUUAUCUGAAAAAAAGAGCAAGUCGACCAGUUGUUCCAAACCCUUUAGUAGUCAUAGCCAGAGUUCUCAGCUGCCUGAUCUACUGGUUUACAUCUUUGAUAGAGGUUUUGUUGUUGGGAUUCAUGCCAUUUCAUCUGUAAAAGACUGGCUCAGUAAGUAGUCUAGCAAAUUGUUAGGUGGCCAGAUAUGCUUGGCAAUUGUAACGAGCAGUUUUAGCUACCAAAGUAAUCCAAAGGGAUGAAAGUGAAUAGCCAGAGAAAUGCAGAGAAGACCUCUUAGAGUUUGAAGUUUGAAUCCAGAAACUCUCAGCAACAGGAGUGAAGAAAACAGAGGAGGAUGCUAGGUAGGGAAAGAACGAAUAAUGUAAUUUAUGGGUAGCCGAAUGACUGCCUGACAAGUGCAAAAGCAAGUUAGCAGAUUGUGGGAUGUUUUUAUGCAGAAAGGUCUGUCUUCGGGGAAGUGCAGCUCUGCCCACAACGAUUGCAUGGGAAACAGUGCCAGGGUGAAGGUAGGACUGUCAUCAGCAAAGAGGCACUAAACCAGUGAUCUGUGUAUGAAACAUAAAGAAAACUACAGUGCACAAAGCAGUGUGUUGCUUGAUGUACCACAAACGUCCAAAUGAAUCUUUGCCAGUGAGGUAAAUAUGUCCCUGAAAAGGCACAUGAUGGACUACUCUAAACUUUCUGUGAGAUAAUGCUAUCUUACUGUGAUGUGCAAGCUACCAAUAGGAAAUUUCUCUGUCACAGAUCAUAGAAUCAUAGAAUAGUUUAAGUUGGAAGGGAUCUUCAAAGGUCCUGUAGUCCCCCCCCUACCCUGCAAUGAGCAGGGACAUCAUGCAGGAACAGGCACCUAUCUUAGACCACCACAGUUCACACAAUGCAGCUUAUAGCACAUGUAGGUCAGGAAAUAUGCAGAUGUAUCCGAGAGAGUGGAGGACGUUCCAUAACGAAUAAUAUCCCCCAGUCAAGGAUGACUGUCCAUUCAGCAUGGGGAGUCUGAGGGUAAAACCAGCUUCAACAUCCCACUGUGCCAGCUAUGUCAGGAAAGAAGAGAGCAGUCCCACGUCGUGUAGCAUCAUGGGAGUCAAGUGAGGUGAUGGAGUCUGAGGGAAGCACUUUUGAAAUAAAGAACUGUUGAUUUAGAUUAACAAAGCUAAAAGACGACUUAAAGCUUUGGCAUGAGGAUCGCUGGUGACUGCUUCAUGUAAUGAACUUCCUACUGCAGUGAGAGGGUGAUGCUUUCCAAAGGGACACUUCAAGACUGGAAUGGACUUUUGGAGGAAACAAUGAUCUCCAUGAAUCUCUCUCCCUUUGUUUUGGUGUUAAACACAUUUUGAACUUCCAUGAUAAAUGUGAAGUCUGUAGUGUAAGUAAGUAAAAAAAAAGCAGCUCCUUUCUUUACUCCACUUUAGUUUCUCCUGUACAAGUACAAACAGUAUACUGUAAACACUGUUCCCCUGUAGGAAUAGAAAAGCGGAAAAAGAAGAUGAAGAGUCCUUAUUUGCAUCACUAGUGUAGUGCUAGUAGUUUAAUGUCAUCAUAAUGAAGGUAAUAUAACAUCCAUUUAGAACAGAGUAAAAGGACUGAAUAUCAGUAAAAGGAAAGCAUUAUUCCAAAUGAGAGAGAAAUUCAUGAGAAACAUCUUUUCAUCAUUUUAAAUAUACCCCAUUAAAUUAAUUUGAACAAGGUUGUCUACAUUCUGAAUAUGUUCAUAAAUGUUUUUACGCAUACCAAGCUGAACUAGGGCCUGAAAGAAAGAGAAGUGCCUUCCUAGACUCUCUGUGUAUAUGCAGCCAGAGCAGCAGAGUAUUCAUCAAAGCUGUAAGCAAAGUGCAUAACCAAAUAUUUAAUUCCUGGAACUGCAUCAUUUGUCUACAAAACUUUCAAAGCCUUGUGGAGAGGGCUUUUAUGUGGAGUGUCUUACUGUUGCUUUAGAGUAUGAUGAGCUAAAUUAAUUCAAGGAAUUUGUUACUGCUUGCAGUUUGCCUGUGAUGAGAUCGGGCUGCGUUUUCUUUUUGGAGCUUGGAUUUUAAUCUAUGUUAAUAUUCGCAUCAACAGGGUAAGUUAAUGAGGCCCAAGCUCAUUUUAUUAUCUUUUAUCUGACUGAAGCUCUAAGCUUCUGCCCUCACAGCCUGAGAUACGCACCCUGCAUGCUGGAUGAGGGAAGCAGCUUAUACUCAAGCAUUUGUAUUGCACAGACGUGAGUGCUCUGUGGUUGGUGUUCUCCAUAUGGGAAAGUUCAUUUUGUUUCUGUCUUGCUUGAAAACAAACAAACAAGAAAUCUGCAACAUGACCAUAUAAAAAAAAAAGGCAGAAAAUAAGGGGUAUGUAAGCAUGCCUGCAAGGUCUGAAACAGAGCUGGGGACACACUUUUUCUUUGUAGAACACAAUGAGUGGUUCGUGAUUGCUGACGUACACUGGGAAAAAAUAGAGAGCUUAUUUAAAAUAGGCACUUUUAAAAUUCUUGAAACUAUUUUUGUCACAUUUAGGACUCGUGAAGUGAGUGUUUGCUCCUAAUAAUUUCUCCAGUAAGGGCUGCCAGCCUUUUCAGAAGGAUUUGAACAUAUCAGAUGUGCCAGCAUUGGUAACAACUACACAAAGAACAAAGGGAGAGGCACAUGGAGUUAAGCUGGGAAAUAUUUGGAGCUAAUCUCUCUGGCUGCUGAAUGUCCUGUCAUCUCUGCCCACCUGCGAGCGCACAGGAUGCUGUAGCAAAGUCAAGCGGGUGCAGGAGGAUGAAGAUGUUUCACCUUCUUGGUAUAUUUAGAAUGACUCAGCCAGGAUGGUUUGUUAAAUUUUGGAAGGAGAGAAGAGAGUAAUAAGUUCUGCUGUACUGGGAUCAGGUUAGAAUGUAACAGAAAGAAAACUUCUCUUGAGAGGAAUCAAUGGACAUCUGAUGUGAUGGCUUCCAUGCCACGACAAAUCAACCUAAUGCUCAGCAGAGGGAUAUAUCUUUGGAUUUAUCAGUUUUCCAUUCCAAAUACUGGAAUUCUCUGCCACAGUCCAAUUCAAUAGAUGUCUUUAUAUGUCUUUCCACUCUCAUUACUCCCUAAUAGGAGUAAUUUUAUAUCAAAUGUCAGUAUCCUAAAAAGCACAAUGUGAUGGGAGUAUCAGCAGGCUAACACAAAGCAAGAAAAGGAAGGACUGUGGAUAAUUUGCAUGUGCUAGUCUGAAUUUUACAGUCAAUUCAUUCACCUUCAAAAGUCUGCAAGCCAUUUUUUUGUGGAGAUGAGGGCUGCUUCAAUAAGCAGUGAGCAAACAGGCCCCAGCAGGUGGAGAGUCAGGUUUGAUCCCAGGUUGUGGCAACCUGAAUCAGCUGCUCAAGGAUAACUGAGAGAUGACUUUGUCCAUGGUCAGUUAAACCUGGGAUACAUUUACUUGAUUUUGUUUUGAAAUUACUGUCAUUUGUUCCAGGGAAAUAUCUCUGAAAGUUUUGAACUGUAGCAAGUACUCUUCUUAUUGUUUAUGUGGAUUAUACUGGAACAACUCAUGUGUUUUCCACUUUGCUGAGCUUCACUCUUAUCAUGAGUUGCUUAUUUAAGUUCAAACAUCAGUUAAUUCUUAGGCAAAUAAAUUAACAGGUUUUAAAACUAAAAAAAAGGUAGUAAAUAUAGAAUAUUAGCUGGGUGGAGGGGGAGGGAAAAGACUGAAAGGUCCUCAAAUAAUGGGGGUACAUAUUAGAGAAAUAUUCCUUAUUACAACAGCAGUACAGAAGCUUUUCAUCUGUACUUUCCUCUUGAAGUUGUAGAGUCCCUAAUCUCAAAGACAGAUUCUGUGGAGGGCUCUGAAAACUGUAAAAUGUGUAUACAUACUUAGGGAGAAUAGUGAAAUAUGCCCUCUCCCCACACACUAAGGCAGUUUAGUUAAAAACAUGUUUCUCUGUGUGUAUAAGAACCAGUUUCUGUAAAAUUUUCCUAAGGAUUGCUAAUUUAGAAACUUCACGCUCUUGCAGCCUUCCAGUAGUAAUGAAAGCUUGGAAACAACGUAGGCUACCGGAGCAUUGAACUGAAUUUCAAACUUUGAGCCUACUAGAAGCUGAGGUCAAAAUCUGGAGGAAAGUUUCUCCCAUUUUAGUUACUAGCAACACCGAGGCAAUCAGUGAUGGUGUUGGCUUUGGUUCUGAAAAUUUUAACAGCUUCAUUUGCACAGCUAGCUUUGUGGGAUGGCAGCGACUAUCUUUUGCUGGGGUGCUUGUAUCUGAUCCUGAUGUCGAUGUCUCUUCUUCAGAAGCAGUUGCAGCUGAGUCCCUUGUUCAUUUGCAUCUUUAUGACUCUCAAGCCAUCUCCUAGUAUGUGUGUGUUGGUUGUUCUGGUGUUUUUUUCCCUUUUUCUCCCACUACUUCUGUUGCUUUACUCAAAUAGUGUCUUCCAAUGACCUAAGGAUGAGUCAAGUAAAAACAAAGAGGAUUUCUUUCCAGUUUUGAGAGUUGGGAUGAGUUGUGUGCCUUAUGGAAUUAACUUGAAGCCUUUAACCUUUAUCUCAUCACCCUCCGAUCGCAGCUCCAGUGUGAAGCUACUGUCCUUGCCCUCACUGUUAUUAUUAUGGCUCAUGUGCCCUCCCUCUGCCUGCCAUUCAUCAUGGUGAGAGUCAAUGUCUUUGGAAAUGUGACUGCCUUUAAGGUGAGCAACUAAGACUUUGCCCCCUUUUACCUUUGUUGAGGAAAAGCUGAUCUAUGCUCAGCAAUUGGCUUCUCUGUAGCAGGUCUUUUAGAGGCACCUACACCUGCAGGUGCCCCUCAGGGCAUGAUGGGCAGGUGGUCCUGGCACUUCUGCCUCACUUGGCUUUAUCUCCUGAACUGCCAGGAGUUGACUUUCAUCUCCACUGUAUUGUCUGUGGCUCUUUGCUUCAGAGGCAUCAGCUGUUAGGCACAGCUCUAGUAGGGGAUGAAGUGGAGGGUUUGUCAGGUUGGAGGAGCAGCGUUGUUCUCUGGGGUAGCAAGAGCUGUGCUGGUGUUGUGUUGUAUGGAGGUGUCUGAAGAAAUAGGAAGACAACAUUUCCCAGAAAGAGAUGUUCAUUUGCUGGAAGGGAAAGCUUUCUUCUUGCAAGGCUUGUGCUGGUUUGUGUCACCAGUUGAUAGCCUACUUAAUAAAUACAAACUAAUCAUUAUGUCAACUAGCUUAUUUGGUGAGGAUGUGAGGUUGCUCCCUCCUACAGAACAGGUGUCUCUGUCCAUCUGUCUGCUGGGAGGAGUUUCUGGUGUUUGGAAGCACUGAAGUACCCUUAGGACAGACUAGGAUCCACUCGGGUGACAGUGCAGCAGAACACACUUACUGUGUGAGUACAAAGCCAUGCACGUAUUUCCUGCCUUCUCGUUUCCAGUUUUUCAUUUCUGCUUCAUGCUCCUUUUUCCUUAGGUCUGGAUGAACAGGGCAUGUUCAGCUGUGCAGUCCCAGGGUUAUGCACUGUGUAACAGAGCAGUGGACCACUCUGUUCCAAGGAGAAUUAAUUCUAAGCUGGGAAUGGCUUGUGUGUGUAUACCCUUAGGAUGGGUUUUACUUUUAGAUGCUUGAAAAAUUCCCAAAGCAGGAGGCAUCAUGGAUGUCUCUGCUUUGGUCCUCAUGGUGUUUUCCAGGCCAUUAAUGCUGGGCUGCUUGCUCUUGCUCAGUGUCCCACCAGUGCUCUCUGCAACACACACAGUAUUUUCCAGUCAAACUGACUUGCCAGAAUGGACAACUUCACAUUUGUGAGUUGGUUUGCUACCAGUGGCAGCUCCCCUGCUCAAGCAGGUAUCCCACACUGCUGCCCGCAGUAGUAGGUAGGUGAGUGAUGUGAUCGCUAAAGCAGCUGCAGCUAUAGGUCAUAAAUUCAGUUGAUAUUUUUCUCAGCUUAAGCUAUACAUAGUGCACAUGGGUACAGGGCUCCUGCUGCAUAACCUUUUGUCAGGAGAUAAAAAUCCUCUGUUCUAGUCAAAGCCUGUGUUUGCUGGCUCAUGAAGAAGUUUGUCCUUUCUCCUUAAGCUCAAGGUCAUUUGAGUUCCUUUCUGCUGUGCUUCUGCUAGUGAGCCAGCGCAAAGGCUGCUUGCUGCUGGUACCUAUAGCUGGCACUCCCGUCUCCUGCUCCUGCCUUCAGAUCUGUUUCACCUCUACUGAAUUUAGCCUCUAAAAUUCAGUGAUUUGUUUAAAUGCUUGUGUGAUGCUUGGCUCUGAUGGUAUCGGCAGCAGCCACUUUCUUGGGGGUGGUGAAGGACAUGCACAGUGAUUGGAGAUGCCCCUUGUUUCUCCUCCUGCCUGCCCUUCACUCUGUCUCUUCAUUUGGCCCACAUCAGCACCUCAUCAUCAGGGGAACGGGCUUAAACAAGUUGCACUUUGCAAAGCUGGUGGCUCGAAAUGUCUUCAGGUACGAGAGGUCUGUGGCAACGCUGACAUGAUGGUAUUGCCUCCCAGGGGUUGCCUGUGCCAGCAGCUAAAUGUGGGCUCUGUCUCCUCCUCACCUCUUCCUACACAGCCGUAGACCCCCUAGUGCUCCUCUGCAAUGUCAUUUAGUGUGCAGUGAGAAGCGCUGUAGAGCACUGGCAGAAUGCUGACGGGCUCAAGAGGCAGAGAGCUCUUGACAGUGUGCUUGUGAAUAAAGAUCACGCGUAUUAAAGUAAUGGCCAGGUGAUCUUUUAAAAGAAAGAGAAAACUGAAAAAGUGCCUCUCCUGCUCUUCUUACAACCCUCAAUUUUUAUUAAUUAUUUGAAAGAAGUGCUGCAACAUUAGUAAUUUCACAUUAAUUCAAUAGCAAGCUUAUGAUUUUAUAGGAAGCGUAUUUGCUGUGACUGUGGAAACUCAACUGGUCAAAUAAACUUGCUCGCCUGACAUCUCCCUCUUAUUUUUUUUCUUGACCUCUUAAAGCAAUAUUUUGCUUUGUUCUGGUUUCCUAUUAUUCUUGAGCAACUCUAAGUUGCUCACAUUCUACCACAAUUUCUGCUUGAAUAUAGGUUUCACAAUAAAGUCAUUAUAGACUUUCUUUCCUUUCUUGAAUGAGCUUUGAUGUAUCUGUUUGAGUUUCUCCUGCCAUCUGGUAUUCUGCAUUGAGAUCCACAAGCCAUGCUGUUAACUCCUCACUAGUAUUUUCUCUUUUGCAUAUGUUUGGUGGGACUCCUAAGCUGCAUUAGAAAUCUUCAGAAAACACAUUUGUGAUGUUGGUUCUGAAUUCCCUCAUCUUGUGCUUUAUGUAAUUUUGUGCUGGCUUGAGGAUGCUCCUGUUGAAAAGCAAACAACUAAAAAUGUUCUUUCUUCUUGUUGGCUCAUUGCACUACAUUCCCACCCUCCUCCUGUUCUGCCACCCAGAAGAACCUGGUUUAGAACACAACAACUAGAAACUAGAUGGAGAGGUUUAGUGUUAGCCUUCACGAAACAAUUGGUGAUAAUUCCCAGAAACUUCUCAUUUGCUGAAGCAGAGAUUUUACUACAGAGCUAGAAGAUGGGCUCAGCUUCAGUAAUUUAUGUGAAAUAGUAAAAUCUUCCUUUUCCUCCUGAAUUCACACGCAUUGUGGUGCAAGAGAGAAUGGUGCAUGUAUUAAGUGUGGUUUGGAUGUAAAUGUUCAGCAUAGUUUUUCUAUUUUCCCAUUUCAAAAAUGGCUGAAAUUUCACUUAUGAGUAUUGCAGUAAUUGCAGUAAUUAUAUUUCAGAGCAGAAACUUUUCUAUUUUCUCUAGAUGUGAACCCUCCAACUACUAGGAUAUGUAUUUUGACUUUUUAUUACAAUGUGGUGUUGUAAUAGGAUUCUUCCUUCUCCAGGGAGACUUUUAUAUUUAUAUAUAUGUUUAUACACAAACACACACACACAGACACACACAAACAUAUUAAACAUGGUUUUGCUAUGGGAUGAGGGCACUGAGUCAAAAAAGCUAGGUUUUAUAUAUUUUAUUCAUAAAAACAGAUUUGCAACAAUUUAUUAAAAAUUGAUCUCAUGCAGUAUAAGGUUAUACAAGAAAUUCUUCAUUUACAUUUUAUUCUGGCAGUUCCAGUCUAGUUUAAAGCAUUUGUGCACUAACAUCAUUGGAAAAUGCCAUUGGGGCACAGCCUCUUCAUAAAUUUACAGUACAUUUUUGCUGCAGUAUAAAAGAACAGAAACAUUAAAUAGCUAUAUUCACUUGGUUGGUCUUGUUAUCUGCAGUAAAGUAAAAAAAAAUGUUAUGGGAGAAACUACAGUAUCAUUGAGACAAAGAAUGUACUGCAUGGUUUAAACCUAAUAAACGUCACACAGUCAGUAUUCACAGAGUUACAGACACACACACACAC